Molecule: unclassified non-coding RNA, 377 nt
Filed under: plant metagenome
Description: partial contains 5.8S ribosomal RNA, internal transcribed spacer 2, and large subunit ribosomal RNA
Rfam family: 5.8S ribosomal RNA (bases 1-104)
Source: RNAcentral
GAAAUGCGAUAAGUAAUGUGAAUUGCAGAAUUCAGUGAAUCAUCGAAUCUUUGAACGCACCUUGCGCUCCUUGGUAUUCCUUGGAGCAUCCUGUUUGAGUAUCAUGAAAUCUUCAAAGUAAAUCUUUUGUUAACUCAAUUGGUUUCUACUUUGGUAUUGGAGGUCUUUGCAGCUUCACACCUGCUCCUCUUUGUUCAUUAGCUGGAUCUCAGUGUUAUGCUUGGUUCCACUCGGCGUGAUAAGUUAUCUAUCGCUGAGGACACUGUAAAAGGUGGCCAAGGUAAAUGCAGAUGAACCGCUUCUAAUAGUCCAUUGACUUGGACAAUACUUUUAUGAUCUGAUCUCAAAUCAGGUAGGACUACCCGCUGAACUUAAGC